GACGAACGCUGGCGGCGUGCCUAAUACAUGCAAGUAGAACGCUGAAACUUGGUGCUUGCACCGAGCGGAUGAGUUGCGAACGGGUGAGUAACGCGUAGGUAACCUGCCUGGUAGCGGGGGAUAACUAUUGGAAACGAUAGCUAAUACCGCAUAAGAGUAGAUGUUGCAUGACAUUUGCUUAAAAGGUGCAAUUGCACCACUACCAGAUGGACCUGCGUUGUAUUAGCUAGUUGGUGGGGUAACGGCUCACCAAGGCGACGAUACAUAGCCGACCUGAGAGGGUGAUCGGCCACACUGGGACUGAGACACGGCCCAGACUCCUACGGGAGGCAGCAGUAGGGAAUCUUCGGCAAUGGACGGAAGUCUGACCGAGCAACGCCGCGUGAGUGAAGAAGGUUUUCGGAUCGGAAAGAUCUGUUGUAAGAGAAGAACGAGUGUGAGAGUGGAAAGUUCACACUGUGACGGUAUCUUACCAGAAAGGGACGGCUAACUACGUG
This 497-nucleotide ribosomal RNA is filed under the name uncultured bacterium. RNAcentral's name for it is "partial 16S ribosomal RNA". It matches the Rfam family "Bacterial small subunit ribosomal RNA", at positions 28 to 507 of the family's 1533-position model. The record is from RNAcentral.